UAUGUGGAGCGAAAUAAAGUAGCAAAGCGUGUGAGCCAUGUGCCGAGAAAAGCUGCUAUUGUGUAAUGCGUGCCCGUACCGUAAACCGACACAGGUGGAUGAGGAGAGAAUCCUAAGGCCGACGGAAGAAGCAUUGUUAAGGAAUUCGGCAAAAUGACCCCGUAACUUCGGGAGAAGGGGUGCCUGCGAGAGCAGGCCGCAGAGAAUAGGCUCAAGCAACUGUUUAGCAAAAACACAGGUCUAUGCGAAACCGAAAGGUGAAGUAUAUGGGCUGACGCCUGCCCGGUGCUGGAAGGUUAAGAGGAGAGGUUAGCGUAAGCGAAGCUUUGAAUUUAAGCCCCAGUAAACGGCGGCCGUAACAAUAACGGUCCUAAGGUAGCGAAAUUCCUUGUCGGGUAAGUUCCGACCCGCACGAAAGGCGUAAUGAUUUGAGCACUGUCUCGACAAUGCAUCCGGUGAAAUUGAAGUACCAGUGAAGAUGCUGGUUACCCGCGCCAGGACGGAAAGACCCCAUGGAGCUUUACUCCAGUUUGAUACUGGGAUUCGGUACUGCAUGUACAGGAUAGGUGGGAGACGAAGAAGGAUGGACGCCAGUCUGUCCGGAGUCGCUGUUGGGAUACCACCCCUGUAGUACUGGGUUUCUAACCAGUUGCCAUGAACUGGCAAUGGGACAAUGUCAGGCGGGGAGUUUGACUGGGGCGGUCGCCUCCGAAAGGGUAUCGGAGGCGCUCAAAGGUUCCCUCAGAAUGGUUGGAAACCAUUUGAAGAGUGCAAAGGCAGAAGGGAGCUUGACUGCGACACCGACGGGUGGAACAGGUACGAAAGUAGGACUUAGUGAUCCGGUGGUAUAAAGUGGGAUUGCCAUCGCUCAACGGAUAAAAGCUACCCUGGGAUAACAGGCUUAUCACUCCCAAGAGUUCACAUCGACGGAGUGGUUUGGCACCUCGAUGUCGGCUCAUCGCAUCCUGGGGCUGUAGCAGGUCCCAAGGGUUGGGCUGUUCGCCCAUUAAAGCGGUACGCGAGCUGGGUUCAGAACGUCGUGAGACAGUUCGGUCCCUAUCCGGCGCGGGCGGAGGAUAUUUGAGAGGAGCUGUCCUUAGUACGAGAGGACCGGGAUGGACGGACCACUGGUGUAUCUGUUGUCGACCAACGGCAUGGCAGAGUAGCCAAGUCUGGAAGGGAUAAACGCUGAAGGCAUCUAAGCGUGAAGCCCCCCUCAAGAUGAGAUAUCCCUCCUUCGGGAGUAAGACCCCUUGAAGACUACAAGGUAGAUAGGGCAGAGGUGGAAGCAUGGCAACAUGUGGAGCUGACUGUUACUAAUAGGUCGAGGGCUUAAUAAA
Molecule: ribosomal RNA, 1340 nt
Filed under: metagenome
Description: bacterial LSU rRNA
Rfam family: Bacterial large subunit ribosomal RNA
Source: RNAcentral